AUGUGGCAUCGGCACGACGGUGUGGUGUGGAGCACGCUCGGACCGCCCCACCUUCUCCCUCCUGCGGUGACGAAGACCGUGUUCAGCGUGGAGUCGGCGUACCUGCACGAUGGCGAUGCCGGGGCCUCGAAGAUGUUGAUGGUUCGUCGGACCAGAGAGGUCCAUUACAAUGGCAGGCGGCUGGGACGAAGUCGCAGCAGGGGCGGCGACAUUAAAGCUAGAUUUGGCGGCGGUGGAGGGGGAAGAGGGUCAGGAACGGGAAGACUGUGGGAGAGUGUGAAAACCGUGUGGUAUGGAGUUUUGAUUCAGGUGUUGGGAGUCCAACGUAUCAUAUGUCUAAAAAUCUUACUCCAUCUCUCAAUUUGCAGUCGACUUGAGAGAUUUUGGUUCGGAUACGUCUGA
This 402-nucleotide ribosomal RNA is filed under the name Triticum aestivum (bread wheat). RNAcentral describes it as "partial small subunit ribosomal RNA". The record is from RNAcentral. Lineage: Eukaryota; Viridiplantae; Streptophyta; Magnoliopsida; Poales; Poaceae.